GUAGGGAAUAUUGGUCAAUGGACGAAAGUCUGAACCAGCCAUUCCGCGUGCAGGAAGAAGAUUCUAUGGAUUGUAAACUGCUUUUAGCAGAGAAGAAACGCCUUCAUUGAUGAGGGUUUGACGGUAUCUGCGGAAUAAGCACCGGCUAACUCCGUGCCAGCAGCCGCGGUAAUACGGGGGGUGCAAGCGUUAUCCGGAAUCACUGGGUUUAAAGGGUGCGUAGGCGGGAAAUUAAGUCAGUGGUGAAAGUCUGUUGCUUAACGAUAGAAUUGCCGUGGAUACUGAUUUUCUUGAAUUGGGUUGAGGUUAGCGGAAUGUGACAUGUAGCGGUGAAAUGCAUAGAUAUGUCAUGGAACACCAAUUGCGAAGGCAGCUAGCUGGGCCUUGAUUGACGCUGAGGCACGAAAGCGUGGGUAGCGAACAGGAUUAGAAACCCCUGUAGUCC
This 445-nucleotide ribosomal RNA is filed under the name uncultured bacterium. RNAcentral describes it as "partial 16S ribosomal RNA". It matches the Rfam family "Bacterial small subunit ribosomal RNA", at positions 354 to 796 of the family's 1533-position model. The record is from RNAcentral.